GUGGUGGCACACCCAUGCAGUCUCAGCUACUACAGAUACUGAGGCAGGAGGAUUGCUUGAGUCCAGGAGUUCUAAGCUGUAGUUCACUAUGCCAAUCAUUUAUCAACACAAAGUUCACCAUCAGUAUGGUGACCUCCAAGGAGAGGGGGAUCACCAGGUCACCUAAGAAGAGGUAAACCAGCUCAGGUCAGAAACCUGAGCAGGUCAAAACUCUUAUGCUGAUCAGUAGUGGAAUCAUGCCUCAGAACAGCCCUUGUACUUCAGCCUGAGCAAUUCAGCAAGACCCCAUCUCGG
Unclassified non-coding RNA from Pongo abelii (Sumatran orangutan), 294 nucleotides. It matches the Rfam family "Metazoan signal recognition particle RNA". Rfam says of the family: The signal recognition particle (SRP) is a universally conserved ribonucleoprotein. It is involved in the co-translational targeting of proteins to membranes. Lineage: Eukaryota; Metazoa; Chordata; Mammalia; Primates; Hominidae. The record is from Ensembl.